RNAcentral lists this ribosomal RNA (394 nucleotides) under uncultured Gammaproteobacteria bacterium. RNAcentral describes it as "bacterial SSU rRNA". It matches the Rfam family "Bacterial small subunit ribosomal RNA", at positions 370 to 779 of the family's 1533-position model. The record is from RNAcentral. Lineage: Bacteria; Pseudomonadati; Pseudomonadota; Gammaproteobacteria.
AAUGGGCGAAAGCCUGACGGAGCAACGCCGCGUGAGGGACGAAGGCCUCUGGGCUGUAAACCUCUUUUCUCAGGGAAGAAGAUAUGACGGUACUUGAGGAAUAAGCCACGGCUAAUUCCGUGCCAGCAGCCGCGGUAAUACGGGAGUGGCAAGCGUUAUCCGGAAUUAUUGGGCGUAAAGCGUCCGCAGGCGGCCUUUCAAGUCUGCUGUUAAAGCGUGGAGCUUAACUCCAUUAUGGCAGUGGAAACUGAUAGGCUUGAGUAUGGUAGGGGCAGAGGGAAUUCCCGGUGUAGCGGUGAAAUGCGUAGAUAUCGGGAAGAACACCAGUGGCGAAGGCGCUCUGCUGGGCCAUUACUGACGCUCAUGGACGAAAGCCAGGGGAGCGAAAGGGAUU